RNAcentral lists this ribosomal RNA (492 nucleotides) under uncultured bacterium. Its description in RNAcentral is "partial 16S ribosomal RNA". It matches the Rfam family "Bacterial small subunit ribosomal RNA", at positions 29 to 507 of the family's 1533-position model. The record is from RNAcentral.
AGUGAACGCUGGCGGUAGGCCUAACACAUGCAAGUCGAACGGCAGCACAGUAAGAGCUUGCUCUUAUGGGUGGCGAGUGGCGGACGGGUGAGGAAUACAUCGGAAUCUACUUUUUCGUGGGGGAUAACGUAGGGAAACUUACGCUAAUACCGCAUACGACCUACGGGUGAAAGCAGGGGAUCUUCGGACCUUGCGCGAUUGAAUGAGCCGAUGUCGGAUUAGCUAGUUGGCGGGGUAAAGGCCCACCAAGGCGACGAUCCGUAGCUGGUCUGAGAGGAUGAUCGGCCACACUGGAACUGAGACACGGUCCAGACUCCUACGGGAGGCAGCAGUGGGAAAUAUUGGACAAUGGGCGCAAGCCUGAUCCAGCCAUACCGCGUGGGUGAAGAAGGCCUUCGGGUUGUAAAGCCCUUUUGUUGGGAAAGAAAAGCAGCAGGUUAAUACCCCGCUGUUCUGACGGUACCCAAAGAAUAAGCACCGGCUAACUUCGUG